This is a long non-coding RNA of Lynx canadensis (Canada lynx), 2096 nucleotides long. RefSeq lists it as uncharacterized. NCBI's taxonomy places the organism in Eukaryota, Metazoa, Chordata, Mammalia, Carnivora, Felidae. The transcript has 3 exons. The record is from RefSeq and is a predicted model, not a curated record.
AUGGAAAUAAGGGUGGUUUUGCAGAAGAGGAGACACUUGAGCAGAGCCUUAAAGCUUAGAAGGAAUCAGCCAGACAGAAGAAACAAAGAGGCAACACCCAAACUCAAGGUCUUUCAAGUAGUCCCAGCAAACGGCCAAUGCACGUACUGUGAGUGGCUGGAGCUCCAAAGUGAAAGAAUGGUGGCUGCAAGCAUGGAGAGUUUCUCCAGGAUCUUGAACUUGACUGUUGAGAGAAAACAACUUUGGGCUAUAUGGGUCUCCUCCUGUACUAAUUCUCAGGAGGUCAAAGACUCUCAGAGCAGCACCAAGUCAGGAAAGGGCCUUCUCCAUCACUGACUAUAAAGAGAGAGCAAUGGCAAUGAACAUGAAGGGUAAGAGAGGUUCUGAGCAAUCUUCCAACCAAUUUCAUUAAAUCAUUAAGGUGUAAACAACAGUUUGUCUCAUCAGCCUUUUUUUGCCAAAGGCCUUCACUGUUUUUCUCUUUUAGUUAUCCUUGCAAAGGCAGAUUUAUCGCUGAACUUCAGCAAGGGCUGGCAGUUUUCCAACACAAGGAAGCACUGUCCAAAGUCAGUCUAAUUUUAAAAAGAUUUCAUCUUACUCAAACAAAUUUGACACAUCCUUACUAAAACGCUUUCUACAUAUUUAACUGUUGAGGUUUAAAAGAAGAGAUAACAAGGAGCCCAUGAAACCAUCCCCGUUGUCAAAGAAGCUUGUGAUCUUCAGAGAAAGACAAAACUUACCAACAUAAAACAAUUAGAAACAAAACCAUCCAAAACAGUGCAACCCUCCCCCCCCUAAAAUCAAGUUAACUGGGAAAAAGUGAACAUGUGUUUUACUUCUGCUCAUUCCUGAUCCCUAUCAAAAUGCAAGUGAAUACAAACAGGAGAAAGAGAACAAUAAACAUAAAUAUGAACAUUUUUUCGAAGAUGAAAAGUAGGUAAGUUAGCAGAACUGAGAAAGUGAAUCCCAUGGCCAUAAAAAGAGAUGCCUUUUCUGCCUUCACACAUACACACCCUGGGAAGGCUCAGGGAUUAGAGGUACCAGGUGGCACACGAGGCUAGGGAUAAGGAGGGGUUGCAAACAAGAACUUGAUACAAAUUCUGUUUAUGAAGAGGCAACAGACCACCAAAUCUCUAGUCACAUCCCGGGCAGCCAGUAGACGAUUACACCUGUACCCAGGCAGGAGAAGGUAUAUCUAUUCUGUGAAGAAGCUGGACGGGCUCCAGACUGGGGGAACCUCAGGAACAAUAAAAGGCAGAGAGAGGCACUGUACUGAAAACAGAAGCCCUAAAAGGAAGUCUGCAUCCUGAAGGAUGGGAUCUCAGCUCUGCUCCCAGAAUGCUGGCAGCCCCACCCCCAACCCCCAAAUAGAAGGUUGGAAGAUUCUUUCCUGCAGAAACCAAAUGAUUCCACAGAAAAGUUCAAUAGAUGCAGACUUUUGAAGAUUCCCCAUCAAACCAGGUGACACAACUCACACAAUGAACUCGGAAGGAUGGCCUCCUUGUUCCUCAAAGCCAGCAAAGAGGGCUCCCCUGCCUUCUGCCAAGGACAAUGGUUUCAGAACAGACAUAUUGGUUACAUCCAGUGUUGCUGUCUACAGCAUCCUAUUCUAGGCCCUUCUGUUUCUAGUCGGUAACUGGAACGAACACACCCAAUACCACACACACGUAAGUCCACAAGUUGUUGGAGACCAGGGAGACUGUGAAACCCAGUACAUUCACUGAAUGACUAUGAACGUUCAAGGUCAUUGCUAUCUGAGGCAAGCCUGGCACUGCCUCCCCACCGAGGCCUACAGCAGGGAGGGGAAUGUGAACAGCAGCAUGAGGGGGCACACAGUGAAACUUGUUUCACUACGGACAUGGACAUGACAAUCUAGGAGGAACGCUGCCAUGAAGUGAAAGUCACUACAGGAGUACUCUGCUGUUAGAAUAUAUUCAUGAGGGUUGAUGUAGAAAUCAAGUUUUCAUAAGCCAUAUUUCCCCCAUGGUUUACACUAUUACUUCGGGGGUCCUUAUCUUUUAUUCAAUUCAAUUUACCUUGGCAUGGCUUCUUAACACUGUUUCUGUUCUACAGCUGUAAAAAAAAAAAAAAAAAAA